RNAcentral lists this ribosomal RNA (497 nucleotides) under uncultured bacterium. Its description in RNAcentral is "partial 16S ribosomal RNA". It matches the Rfam family "Bacterial small subunit ribosomal RNA", at positions 28 to 507 of the family's 1533-position model. The record is from RNAcentral.
GAUGAACGCUGGCGGCGUGCCUAAUACAUGCAAGUCGAGCGAACGGACGAGAAGCUUGCUUCUCUGAUGUUAGCGGCGGACGGGUGAGUAACACGUGGAUAACCUACCUCUAAGACUGGGAUAAUUUCGGGAAACCGGAGCUAAUACCGGCUAAUAUUUUGAACCGCAUGGUUCAAAAGUGAUAGACGGUCUUGCUGUCACUUAUAGAUGGAUCCGCGCUGCAUUAGCUAGUUGGUAAGGUAACGGCUUACCAAGGCAACGAUGCAUAGCCGACCUGAGAGGGUGAUCGGCCACACUGGAACUGAGACACGGUCCAGACUCCUACGGGAGGCAGCAGUAGGGAAUCUUCCGCAAUGGGCGAAAGCCUGACGGAGCAACGCCGCGUGAGUGAUGAAGGUCUUCGGAUCGUAAAACUCUGUUAUUAGGGAAGAACAUAUGUGUAAGUAACUGUGCACAUCUUGACGGUACCUAAUCAGAAAGCCACGGCUAACUACGUG